This 470-nucleotide ribosomal RNA is filed under the name Bacillus sp. (in: firmicutes). RNAcentral describes it as "bacterial SSU rRNA". It matches the Rfam family "Bacterial small subunit ribosomal RNA", at positions 334 to 797 of the family's 1533-position model. The record is from RNAcentral. Lineage: Bacteria; Bacillati; Bacillota; Bacilli; Caryophanales; Bacillaceae.
UACUCCUACGGGAGGCAGCAGUAGGGAAUCUUCCGCAAUGGACGAAAGUCUGACGGAGCAACGCCGCGUGAGUGAUGAAGGUUUUCGGAUCGUAAAGCUCUGUUGUUAGGGAAGAACAAGUGCGAGAGUAACUGCUCGCACCUUGACGGUACCUAACCAGAAAGCCACGGCUAACUACGUGCCAGCAGCCGCGGUAAUACGUAGGUGGCAAGCGUUGUCCGGAAUUAUUGGGCGUAAAGGGCUCGCAGGCGGUUUCUUAAGUCUGAUGUGAAAGCCCCCGGCUCAACCGGGGAGGGUCAUUGGAAACUGGGAAACUUGAGUGCAGAAGAGGAGAGUGGAAUUCCACGUGUAGCGGUGAAAUGCGUAGAGAUGUGGAGGAACACCAGUGGCGAAGGCGACUCUCUGGUCUGUAACUGACGCUGAGGAGCGAAAGCGUGGGGAGCGAACAGGAUAGAUACCCUGGUAGUCCA